ACAGCCACAUCAUAUUGUAUCAUUGGUUCCCGUACGAUCACCGCCGUCGAGCAACGUCGGGCCUGAUGAGUACCAAGAUGGAUGACCGCUUGGGAAUCCUAAGCGCAGU
This is a non-coding RNA of Acanthosepion pharaonis, 109 nucleotides long. Lineage: Eukaryota; Metazoa; Mollusca; Cephalopoda; Sepiida; Sepiidae. The record is from the annotation of a GenBank genome assembly.